Cylas formicarius (sweet potato weevil) is the source of this 4841-nucleotide RNA transcript. It is a transcript of the gene named protein FAM161A-like, with no coding region annotated. The transcript has 2 exons. The record is from RefSeq and is a predicted model, not a curated record. Lineage: Eukaryota; Metazoa; Arthropoda; Insecta; Coleoptera; Brentidae.
UUGUAGUUUGUGGUCUCUAUUUUAUGUGUCAAAAAUCAGCAAAAUGGCUGAGCAAUUAAACUAAUUAAUUAGAAAGCGAGCUUAUCUCAAUUUAAAAGGUAUUUAACAAAUUUCAAUGUGCAAAGUGAAAGAUCUUCAGAAAAAGAAGUGUGAAGAUUUAGACAGCCAAUUUAAUGAGAGGGAAGUUUUCCAAACAGAAUUCUACCAUAUUGUCGCAAAGGCAAAAAAUAUUUUGGGUGAUUUUAAUGAUACGAACAACAAAAAUGGGUGUUUGCAAAAAAUUACGCAUUCGGAUUCCAACUCUGUCAUUUUUCAGGAAAAUUUACGGCCAAAUUCGAAUGAAACGAUGGGUGUACGAUUACCUUUAAUAAAUUUACCAACGUUUGCUGGAAACUACUCAAAGUGGUUGGAAUUUAGAGACACGUUUGAUAGUUUAAUUCACAAGAAUAAGUCGAUUGGCGACAUUCAAAAGUUUCACUAUUUGCGUGCAUCACUUGAGACCUUGGAAAACAAUUCCCGGACAAAAUUGAAGGAAAAUUUUAUCGGGCAAAAACAAAGGGUUUUUGUAGCUGGGGUUGAAAAAAGCAAGUGUGUUAUUUGUAAAAGCGGUCAUGACAUCAGUGAGUGUAAGAAAUUUUUGGAGUUAACAACCAGCCAGAGAAUUGCGCAAAUAAAACGAAAUAAAUUAUGUAUGUGUUGUUUUUCGAACAAGCAUUUUAGUUUUAAUUGUCAAGGGAAAAAAUGUUCGCCGUGUGGUUUAGGGCAUGAUGUUCUAUUACAUUUUUAUAACCAACGCCAAACUGAACAGGUCAGUGUUGAAAGUGCCCCAAUUGCUGACGUACAAAAGGCUGUAGAAGCGUCUUCAAAGGAAGGAAGUAAAACCUCUGUGGUGCUAUCGAGUAGAAAUUGUGGGACUCAAGGUCAGGUGUUACUUUCUACAACGAUUGUCAAAUUAAAAGAUGUGAGUGGAAAUUUGCAUCAUCGCAAGGUUUUGUUAGAUUCAGCUUCAAUGAGCAAUUUUAUCACUGAAAAAAUGUGUGACAAACUUCAGUUAAAAACAAAAGAUGCGAAUGUGUGUGUGGUUGGGAUUGGUCAAAACACUGAAAAGAUUUCGAAACGGUGUAAAGUAGAAAUCAGUUCUCAGAAAGGUGAUUUCCUAAUUCCUAUCAGUUGUUUAAUCAUUCUGAAAAUUAGUGAUGAGAUUCCUUUGUGUGAAAUUGAGUUAGGACCAAUAAACAUUCCAGGAAAUAUUUGUCUAGCAAACAGUGAAUUUCAUUUGCCUGAUGAAGUGGAUAUGUUAAUUGGUGCAGGUGUGUUCUGGAAACUUAUAACUCAUAACAAACCUUUCUUACAAAACACUUGGUUAGGAUGGGUAGUAGCGGGGUACAUCAGUGGACAAGGAUCUCGAGUCAAACCUAAGAAAACGGUGUGCAACCUAAGUAUUGGUACAGAGGUACAAGACCAAAUGGCCAAGUUUUGGGAACUAGAAGAGCCAGGUGGAGGUCAAAUCGAGGGAAUGACACGGGAUGAAGUUGAUUGUGAAAAUUUCUUUGUGUCAACAAAAAGACGUGAUCAGGAUGGUCGAUUUGUUGUUGCAAUCCCAUUGAAAAUGUAUGACGGCUCUGCACAAUCAGACUCGGGUGUGUCACGUAACGAUUUGCAAUUUUUGGGGCCAAGAAUUCAAGAGGAUAUUAUUUCAAUUUUGUUGAGGUUUAGACAACAUGAAGUGGCAUUCUGCGCAAAUAUCGCCAAAAUGUACCGACAAGUAUGGGUUAGGGAAGAUCAACGCCAUCUACAAAGGAUACUGUGGAGAGAAAAUCCAGCAGAAGAAGUCAAGGUCUACAAUUUAAACACGGUGACGUUUGGAUUAACCUCAAGUCCAUUUUUAGCGGUAAGGUGUUUGCAGGAACUGACUAAAAAUUGCGAACAAACACAGAUUUCAAAGGUAAUUGGCAAGGACUUCUACGUUGAUAAUUUGAUAUCAGGGGCCUCCUCGAUUCAAGAGGCACUUCAGAUAUGUAAGGGUGUUUGUGAGGUUUUAAAAUCUGGUGGGUUUGAGCUCAGAAAGUUCAGUUCGAACAAGGAGGAGUUCUUGGAACAAUUUGGAGUAAGGCCCAAGGCAGAAUUAUAAACUCUUAAUCUAGGAGAGCAUCAACACAAAACUUUGGGAUUGUAUUGGGACUAUCAGGCAGAUAUCUUUACCUACAGGGUGACGGAAUUUUCAAGUAAUUCAAGUACCACAAAACGGAAGAUUCUGUCAGAAAUUGCCCAGCUGUUCGAUCCACUUGGGUUAGUUAGCCCAUGUGUCGUCAUUCCCAAGAUUAUUUUACAAUGAUUGUGGAUUCUCAAGUUGGAUUGGGACGAUGAAGUACCGAACAAUAUUGCCCAAGAGUGGGAACAAUUUAAGCAAGAAAUGGUGAAAUUAAACAUGCAAGACAUGUAGGUAGCAACAAUUCAGAGAACAUCGAACUUCAUGGAUUUUGUGAUGCUGCACAAGAAGCGUUUGGAGCAUGUAUCUAUGUCAGAAAUGUCAAGAAGGAUGGAAGUGUAGUCGUUCGCUUAUUGUGUGCAAAAAGUAAAGUUGCCCGGAUAAAGGCACUAACUAUACCGAAAUUGGAAUUGUCGGGUGCAUUAUUACUUUCAAGGUUGAUAAAAGAAGUACAAACUUCCAUGACGUUAAAUUUCAGGAAACUGUUUUUGUGGAGCGAUUCUACAGUAACAUUAAGUUGGAUAAAAUCACCAGCAAAUCAAAUCCAAGCUUUUGUCGCAAAUAGAGUAUCGCAAAUUCAGUCUAUGACGGAUCAAGACAAUUGGCAUUAUGUGCGGUCAGAAGAAAACCCCGCAGACUUAGUAUCCCGGGAACUUUUUCCUUCCAAAUUGUGUGGAAAUAAAUUAUGGUUUGAAGGUCCACAAUGGUUGCCACAAGAUUUCUUUCCAAAUCAGGCUGUAGAUGUCCCUUUAGAGGAACUUCCAGAAAGGAGGAAGCGAGUAAAAGCCUUUUUGAAUUCAGAGAAGAGUAUUUUAGAGAUUUUUUCCAGAUAUUCCAGUUGGACAAAAUUGAAACGUGUAUUUGCAUAUUGCUUAAGGUUUACAGCACGUUGCAGAAAAUUGGAUAGUCCCGAAUCAAAGAAUUUGACAGAGAAAGGAAUGUUAAUAAAGUUAUCACAAGAUGAAUGUUUCGUAAAUGAGAAGAAAAUCUUGGAGACCGGUGAGAAGAUAAAAAAGGGUUGCUUGUCAAAUUUAAAUCCGUUUCUAGAUGCCGACGGAUUAAUCAGAGUAGCCGGAAGACUAGCGCUUUCAGAAUUUAAAUUUGACAAAAAAUUCCCAAUUGUGUUAGACCCAAAACAUCCAUGUCCAAAAUUGAUUGUUAAGGCAGAGCAUUUGAGACUACUGCAUGCAGGCCCUCAAUUAGUUCUCAGUUCAUUAAGGGAAAAUUAUUGGCCACUAAAGGGCAGAAAUGUUGUGAGAAGGGUGGUGCAUGAAUGUGUUGUGUGUUCGAAGGUUCAACCUAGGUCCUUUGAAAUACAGCUGGGAGAUCUACCUAAGUCACGAGUGAUCCCACAAUUUCCAUUCAAUACCACAGGGGUUGAUUAUUCAGGGCCGUUCAAUUUUAAAAUAGCUCUGGGACGGGGCACGCGUUUGUACAAGGGGUAUGUUGGUUUAUUUAUUUGUUUUUGCACACGUGCAAUACAUUUAGAGGCUGUAACAAGUCUGUCUACGCAACCAUUUGUUGCAACUUUCAGGAGAUUCGUGUCUAGGAGGGGCAAACCAGAAAAAAUGUUGUCAGACAAAAUUUUUGCGUAAUAAUCAUGUCAUUUUAAAGACAUUGAUUGCGACAGAAGGUGUUAAUUGGUCUUUUAUUCAGGCAUAUUCGCCUCAUUUCGGGGGUUUAUGGGAGUCAGGGGUAAAAAGUGUUAAAUACCAUUUAAAAAGAGCUGUGGGCAAGGCAAAUUUGACAUAUGAGGACUUUUCCACUUGUUGUGUCAAAUAGAGGCCAUUUUAAAAUCACGUCCUCUCACUCCAAUGUCAUCUGAUCCUUCUGACUUGGACGUUUUAACCCCAUCCCAUUUCCUGAUCGGAAGAAGGGCAACCUCAUUACCGGACCCACGAUUGCUCGAGCAACCUGAAAAUAGGCUUGCUAGCUAUCAACAUAUUCAACAAUACCAUCAAGAUUUUUGGUCUUGUUGGUCACAGGAAUACAUCGCUGAACUUCAGAGGUGCGUCAGAUGGAAGGCUGGCGGGGACACUCUGCUGGAAGGGACAUUGGUGAUCGUGAAAGAAGAAAAUGUGCUUCCCUUGUGUUGGAAAAUGGGACGCAUCGUUCAGUUAUACCCAGGAAAGGACAACAUUAGUCGAGUGGCUGAUGUAAAAACGAGUGAAGGUGUCAUCAAACGUUCAUUCGCAAAAUUGUGUCCAUUGUUUCACGAAAGUGGGUGAAAAAAAAAACUCAGUUCAAGUGGUUUCAAAGGUUGUCUAAGACAAAUUGAUUUUCAAAAAAUGUUUGUUUUGUUGUUUUUUUAGAAAGAGGGUUCUUUCAAGGCUGGGGGUAUGUUGACUUCAAAAUUAUGUAAAUUGCUUUUUAAUUUUGUUUAUCUUAAACAUGCCGGACAUUUCAACAACAGGGCGUUGCACGCCAAACCGGCAAGGUCUACGUUUUUGCUAGACCAGUAACAAUUUUGAAGCGUUACAGGGGAGACGUUCACGGCAUUGAUCGCGACGUCGCCGCAAAGUGAGAUAUAGUCCAUUUAUAGAAAACGAAAAUUCAAUAAAUAUUAAAUGAUUGAGGAAACGCUUGUAUUAUUGAAAAAACUCUGUUCAGAGUAAGAGACAUUCUCAUAGAC